RNAcentral lists this ribosomal RNA (577 nucleotides) under uncultured bacterium. RNAcentral's name for it is "bacterial SSU rRNA". It matches the Rfam family "Bacterial small subunit ribosomal RNA", at positions 347 to 916 of the family's 1533-position model. The record is from RNAcentral.
GGCAGCAGUGGGGAAUAUUGGACAAUGGGCGAAAGCCUGAUCCAGCAACGCCGCGUGAGUGAUGAAGGCCUUCGGGUUGUAAAGCUCUGUCAGAGGGGACGAAUUGGGGUGACCUAACACGUCACUCAGUGACGGUACCUUCAAAGGAAGCACCGGCUAACUCUGUGCCAGCAGCCGCGGUAAUACAGAGGGUGCAAGCGUUGUUCGGAAUCACUGGGCGUAAAGGGCGUGUAGGCGGUGGGGUGUGUCUGAUGUGAAAGCCCUUGGCUUAACCGAGGAACUGCAUCAGAAACUACCUCACUCGAGUGCGAGAGAGGGUGGCGGAAUUCCCAGAGUAGAGGUGAAAUUCGUAGAUACUGGGAGGAACACCUGAGGCGAAGGCGGCCACCUGGCUCGCAACUGACGCUGAGACGCGAAAGCGUGGGGAGCAAACAGGAUUAGAUACCCUGGUAGUCCACGCUGUAAACGAUGAUGACUAGAUGUUGGAGGAAUUGACCCCUUCAGCGUCGCAGUUAACGCGAUAAGUCAUCCGCCUGGGGAGUACAGUCGCAAGACUAAAACUCAAAUGAAUUGACGG